Molecule: long non-coding RNA, 990 nt
Filed under: Manacus vitellinus (golden-collared manakin)
Lineage: Eukaryota; Metazoa; Chordata; Aves; Passeriformes; Pipridae
Description: lncRNA (ENSMVIG00005012715.1)
Source: RNAcentral
GUGCCCAUUAGUGGAGAGAAAGACAAUUCAUAUGGUUGUGACUGUCUUUCCUUUCAGUUGGCAACCAAGAGAAGAGACAGACUCGGCUCCAAUCCUUUGGAGUAUUGAUAAGAGAAGGUAUUGUGGGAAAUGACCCUGUGCCUUUUCUGUUUCUCCUGCCAGAGUCGGUAGGGUUUGGACUGAUCUCUCUUUUAUUUCUCCAGGUAGCAGAGAGGUUUCUUUCCCCUUUAGAGGAGAAGAUAGUGUACAGACCCCCUUAUUAGAGAAGAUAGUGUACUGACCCCUUUAGUAGAGAAGAUAGUGUACAGAGAAGAUAGUAGAGAAGAUAGUGUACAGAGAAGAUAGUAGGGAAGAUAGUGUACCCCUUAUUAGAGAAGAUUGCUCUGCCUGCAGCUGUACCCAUGGACAAGCUUGGAUUCCAACAGUUCUGUUCACAGCAAGUGAGUCCCCACUUGUGUGUAUUUCUCCUGCUGAUCUACUCGCCCCCCUGGGAUUGUUUCCAGCAUUUUCUCGCCUGCACUUGGAUGUUGAUGCUUUUGCAUCUCUUUAAGCAGUGCAGCUGUGGCAGUUCCCUGCUUAGAGAGAAGCUGGAAUUCGUUGGCACUGGAGCACGUUGUCCCAGGAAGCGACUACUCCCUGCCAGGACUAUUUGGUACCCGAAGCCGAGCACGCAGAUCAUCCUGGGAGGACAAAGAGCCAAAACACAGCUGGUUUCCAAAGGUCUGGCCUCCACUGAGUGUGACACAGACAGUUGCAAAAUCCUGAUUUCCAGCACUUGCUGGAUCCUGAGCCAGUUGGUGUGACUGGGCAGGUGUGGGUCUGGGUCCUGUCUUUGGGAAUGUUAAUUGGUCAGGCUUGAUGACCCUCUGGGUUUGUCUCCUUCCUUUUUCUUCCCUUCCCAACUGCAAACAGGAACGUUUUUCCCAUUCCACAGAUCCGUACCAGUCAGUGGGACUGACCAGGCUGGUUCCUGUCACUUCCUGCCCCAGC